ACACACAGGUAGUGAGGAGGCCGGGGUGUUAAUACACACACAGGUAGCGAGGAGGCCGGCGUGUUAAUACACACACAGGUAGUGAGGAGGCCGGGGUGUUAAUACACACACAGGUAGUGAGGAGGCCGGCGUGUUAAUACACACACAGGUAGUGGUUAAAUCUAAGAGGGUUGUAUAUUUCCAGGAAUUUAUCCAUCUCCUCUAGGUUUUCUAGUUUAUGCAUGUAAAGGUGUUUAUAGUAGCCUUGAGUGAUCUUUUGUAUUUCUGUGGUAUCGAUUGUAACAUCUCCCAUUUCAUUGCUAAUUGAGCUUGUUAGGAUCUUCUCUCUUCUUUUCUUGGUUAAUCUCACUAAUGGCCUGUCAAUUUUAUUUGUCUUUUCAAAGAACCAGCUUUUUGUUUCAUUUACCUUUUGUAUUUUUUUUUUUCAAUAUCAUUUAGUUCUGUUCUGAUCUUGGUUAUAUCUUUUCUUCUGCUGGUUUGGGUUUGGUUUGUUUUUGUUUCUCUAGCUCCUUGAGGCAUGACCUUAGAAUGCCUAUUUGUGCUCUUUCAGACUUUUUGAUGUAGGCCUUUAGUGCUAUGAGCUUUCCUUUGAGUGCUGCAGUUGUGUCACUAUUAUUCAGUUCAAAGAAUAUUUUAAUUUCCAUCUUGAUUUCAUGGUUGAUUCAAUGAUCAUUUGGGAGCAGGUUAUUUAAUUUCCAUACAUUUGCAUGGUUUUGAGGGUUCCUUUUCGAGUUGAUUUUCAGUUUUAUUCCACUGUGGUCUGAGAUACUACUUGCUAUAAUUUUGAUUUUCUUAAAUUAGUUGAGACUUGUUUUGUGGCCUAUCAUAUGGUCUAUCUUGGAAAA
This 845-nucleotide long non-coding RNA is filed under the name Homo sapiens (human). RNAcentral describes it as "non-protein coding lnc-ACP1-11:1". Lineage: Eukaryota; Metazoa; Chordata; Mammalia; Primates; Hominidae. The record is from RNAcentral.